AGCGAAUAGAUACCCGGGUAGUCCAUGCUGUAAACGAUGAGAACUAGAUGUUAGGGGGCAUGACCUCUUAGUAAUCGAAAGCUAACGCGAUAAGUUCUCCGCCUGGGGAGUACGGCCGCAAGGUUAAAACUCAAAGAAAUUGACGGGGGCCCGGCACAAGCGGUGGAGCAUGUGGUUUAAUUCGAUGCAACGCGAAGAACCUUACCUACCUUUGAAUCCACGGAACCUAGCAGAGAUGUUGGGGUGCCUUCGGGAGCCAUGAGACAGGUGCUGCAUGGCUGUCGUCAGCUCGUGUCGUGAGAUGUUGGGUUAAGUCCCGUAACGAGCGCAACCCUUGUCCUUAGUUGCCAUCAGGUUAUGCUGGGCACUUUAAGGAGACUGCCGGUGAUAAACCGGAGGAAGGUGGGGAUGACGUCAAGUCCUCAUGGCCCUUACAGGUAGGCUACACGCGUGCUACAAUGGGCAGUACAGAGGGAAGCCAACCGCGAGGGGAGCGAAUCUCAUAAAGCUGUUCGUAGUCCGGAUUGGAGUCUGCAAC
RNAcentral lists this ribosomal RNA (538 nucleotides) under uncultured bacterium. RNAcentral's name for it is "bacterial SSU rRNA". It matches the Rfam family "Bacterial small subunit ribosomal RNA", at positions 771 to 1311 of the family's 1533-position model. The record is from RNAcentral.